GCGGUAACAGGUCCAGCUUGCUGGAUGCUGACGAGCGGCGGACGGGUGAGUAACGCAUAGGAAUCUACCCGGUAGUGGGGGAUAACCUGGGGAAACCCAGGCUAAUACCGCAUACGUCCUACGGGAGAAAGGGGGCUUAGGCUCCCGCUAUUGGAUGAGCCUAUGCCGGAUUAGCUGGUUGGUGAGGUAAUGGCUCACCAAGGCGACGAUCCGUAGCUGGUCUGAGAGGAUGAUCAGCCACAUCGGGACUGAGACACGGCCCGAACUCCUACGGGAGGCAGCAGUGGGGAAUAUUGGACAAUGGGGGCAACCCUGAUCCAGCCAUGCCGCGUGUGUGAAGAAGGCCCUCGGGUUGUAAAGCACUUUCAGCGAGGAAGAACGCCUGUCGGUUAAUACCCGGCAGGAAAGACAUCACUCGCAGAAGAAGCACCGGCUAACUCCGUGCCAGCAGCCGCGGUAAUACGGAGGGUGCAAGCGUUAAUCGGAAUUACUGGGCGUAAAGCGCGCGUAGGUGGCUUGAUAAGCCGGUUGUGAAAGCCCCGGGCUCAACCUGGGAACGGCAUCCGGAACUAUUAGGCUAGAGUGCAGGAGAGGAAGGUAGAAUUCCCGGUGUAGCGGUGAAAUGCGUAGAGAUCGGGAGGAAUACCAGUGGCGAAGGCGGCCUUCUGGACUGACACUGACACUGAGGUGCGAAAGCGUGGGUAGCAAACAGGAUUAGAUACCCUGGUAGUCCACGCCGUAAACGAUGUCGACCAGCCGUUGGGUGCCUAGCGCACUUUGUGGCGAAGUUAACGCGAUAA
This 800-nucleotide ribosomal RNA is filed under the name Halomonas sp. RNAcentral describes it as "bacterial SSU rRNA". It matches the Rfam family "Bacterial small subunit ribosomal RNA", at positions 66 to 863 of the family's 1533-position model. Lineage: Bacteria; Pseudomonadati; Pseudomonadota; Gammaproteobacteria; Oceanospirillales; Halomonadaceae. The record is from RNAcentral.